RNAcentral lists this ribosomal RNA (301 nucleotides) under uncultured bacterium. RNAcentral describes it as "partial 16S ribosomal RNA". It matches the Rfam family "Bacterial small subunit ribosomal RNA", at positions 509 to 808 of the family's 1533-position model. The record is from RNAcentral.
CAGUCGCCACGGUAAUACGAAGGGUGCAAGCGUUACUCGGAAUUACUGGGCGUAAAGCGUGCGUAGGUGGUGGUUUAAGUCCGUUGUGAAAGCCCUGGGCUCAACCUGGGAAUUGCAGUGGAUACUGGGUCACUAGAGUGUGGUAGAGGAUAGUGGAAUUUCCGGUGUAGCAGUGAAAUGCGUAGAGAUCGGAAGGAACAUCUGUGGCGAAGGCGACUAUCUGGGCCAACACUGACACUGAGGCACGAAAGCGUGGGGAGCAAACAGGAUUAGAGACCCAGUAGUCCCUGUCUCUUAUACA